RNAcentral lists this ribosomal RNA (411 nucleotides) under uncultured microorganism. RNAcentral's name for it is "bacterial SSU rRNA". It matches the Rfam family "Archaeal small subunit ribosomal RNA", at positions 459 to 872 of the family's 1478-position model. The record is from RNAcentral.
CAGCCGCCGCGGUAAUACCAGCCCGCGAGUGGUCGGGACGGUUAUUGGGCCUAAAGCGCCCGUAGCCGGCCCGGCAAGUCCCUCCUUAAAGCCUCGGGCCCAACCCGAGGACGGGGGGGAUACUGCCGGGCUAGGGGGCGGGAGAGGCCGGCGGUACUCCCGGGGUAGGGGCGAAAUCCGUUAAUCCCGGGAGGACCACCAGUGGCGAAGGCGGCCGGCUGGAACGCGCCCGACGGUGAGGGGCGAAAGCCGGGGGAGCGAACCGGAUUAGAUACCCGGGUAGUCCCGGCUGUAAACGAUGCGGGCUAGCUGUUGGGCGGGCUUAGAGCCCGCCCAGUGGCGCAGGGAAGCCGUUAAGCCCGCCGCCUGGGGAGUACGGCCGCAAGGCUGAAACUUAAAGGAAUUGGCGGG